RNAcentral lists this ribosomal RNA (254 nucleotides) under uncultured bacterium. RNAcentral describes it as "partial 16S ribosomal RNA". It matches the Rfam family "Bacterial small subunit ribosomal RNA", at positions 524 to 776 of the family's 1533-position model. The record is from RNAcentral.
UACGUAGGGGGCAAGCGUUGUCCGGAUUUAUUGGGCGUAAAGAGCGUGUAGGCGGUUUGGUAGGUCCGUUGUGAAAACUCGAGGCUCAACCUCGAGACGCCGAUGGAAACCAUCAGACUAGAGUCCGGAAGAGGAGAAUGGAAUUCCUGGUGUAGCGGUGAAAUGCGCAGAUAUCAGGAAGAACACCCCGUGGCGAAGGCGGUUCUCUGGGACGGUACUGACGCUGAGACGCGAAAGCGUGGGGAGCGAACAGG